This 196-nucleotide signal recognition particle RNA is filed under the name Alicyclobacillus acidoterrestris. Its description in RNAcentral is "signal recognition particle sRNA large type". The stretch from base 74 to 173 matches the Rfam family "Bacterial small signal recognition particle RNA". Rfam says of the family: The signal recognition particle (SRP) is a universally conserved ribonucleoprotein involved in the co-translational targeting of proteins to membranes. Archaeal SRP consists of a 7S RNA and homologues of the eukaryotic SRP19 and SRP54 proteins. RNAcentral also lists the same sequence under 1 other name. The record is from RNAcentral. Lineage: Bacteria; Bacillati; Bacillota; Bacilli; Caryophanales; Alicyclobacillaceae.
CGCCACGAUGUUGAGUGAGGCAUGCACUCACUCAACACAUAUCGUCUAUUCACGUGAUGUCUGACCAAGACCCGACUGGGUCCCAUGCGGCGAAAACUUCCGAACCGUGUCAGGUCCUGACGGAAGCAGCACUAAGGAAGACCUUUCGGGCGACGUGGGAGUGCCUGGUCAGGUCUUGGUCAGACGUCAUGUGGCG